ACGUAGGGGGCAAGCGUUGUCCGGAUUUAUUGGGCGUAAAGCGCGCGUAGGCGGUUUCUUAAGUCUGAUGUGAAAUCUUGCGGCUCAACCGCAAGCGGUCAUUGGAAACUGGGGAACUUGAGUGCAGAAGAGGAGAGUGGAAUUCCACGUGUAGCGGUGAAAUGCGUAGAGAUGUGGAGGAACACCAGUGGCGAAGGCGACUCUCUGGUCUGUAACUGACGCUGAGGUGCGAAAGCGUGGGUAGCGAACAGGA
Molecule: ribosomal RNA, 253 nt
Filed under: uncultured prokaryote
Description: partial 16S ribosomal RNA
Rfam family: Bacterial small subunit ribosomal RNA
Source: RNAcentral